CUACAUUUUGCACCUUUAGCGACUCGGCUGCAGCCAACAGCACAGGGGAAGAAAUGGCGUUAACAUUUGGUGACGAUAACAGUGACAUCAUCCUCUACGUCUGCUCCAGGAGGAGAAGAGAGACUCCCCAGAGGGUCCGUGGUUCCUUCCCGCUGCCGCCUACACUGGCUUAAUGAGGAGCCUGCGGGAAGGGUGCCUUCCUGAGUCUCCCCCUUUGUAAUCUCCCUUUGUUCCCCCCGUGGUUUUUGGACUGCCUUACUCGAUCCUUGACCCUCACCUGGACACGGACGCUGACACUCUCUCUCGCCCUGGAUCUUCUGCCUGCCCCACGGACUGCCUUCCUGCCUUGUUCCUUCUCCUCGUUUCAACAUUUGGUAAGACUCAACAGCUAAUUAUUCACACACAUAGUCUUCCACCAUACACCCCUUCUGGAUAUUA
Long non-coding RNA from Nerophis ophidion (straightnose pipefish), 438 nucleotides. RefSeq lists it as uncharacterized. Lineage: Eukaryota; Metazoa; Chordata; Actinopteri; Syngnathiformes; Syngnathidae. The transcript is spliced from 3 exons. The record is from RefSeq and is a predicted model, not a curated record.